GACGUAGGGCGCGAGCGUUGUCCGGAUUUAUUGGGCGUAAAGAGCUCGUAGGCGGUGUGUCGCGUCGGCCGUGAAAACCUGCAGCUUAACUGUGGGCUUGCGGUCGAUACGGGCAUCACUGGAGUUCGGCAGGGGAGACUGGAAUUCCUGGUGUAGCGGUGAAAUGCGCAGAUAUCAGGAGGAACACCGGUGGCGAAGGCGGAUCUCUGGGCCUUACCUGACGCUGAGGCGCGAAAGCUAGGGGAGCAAACAGG
This 254-nucleotide ribosomal RNA is filed under the name uncultured bacterium. RNAcentral's name for it is "partial 16S ribosomal RNA". It matches the Rfam family "Bacterial small subunit ribosomal RNA", at positions 524 to 776 of the family's 1533-position model. The record is from RNAcentral.